GGCCUACCAUGGUGGUAACGGGUAACGGGGUGUUAGGGCACGACACCGGAGAGGGAGCCUGAGAAACGGCUACCACAUCCAAGGAUGGCAGCAGGCGCGCAAAUUACCCAAUCCCGACACGGGGAGGUAGUGACAAUAAAUAACAAUACGGGGCUCUUUUGGGUCUCGUAAUUGGAAUGAGUACAAUUUAAAUCUCUUAACGAGGAACAAUUGGAGGGCAAGUCUGGUGCCAGCAGCCGCGGUAAUUCCAGCUCCAAUAGCGUAUAUUAAAGUUGUUGCAGUUAAAAAGCUCGUAGUUGAAUUUCGGGGUCAGUAGGUUGGUCGUGCCUAUGGUAUGUACUGGCUUUACUGAUUCCUCCUUCUUGAAGAACUGUAAUGUCAUUAAUUUGGUGUUGCAGGGAAACAGGACUGUUACUUUGAAAAAAUUAGAGUGUUUAAAGCAGGCUAACGCUUGAAUACAUUAGCAUGGAAUAAUGAAAUAGGACGUUCGAUCCUAUUUUGUUGGUUUCUAGGAUUGACGUAAUGAUUAAUAGGGAUAGUUGGGGGCAUUAGUAUUCAAUUGUCAGAGGUGAAAUUCUUGGAUUUAUUGAAGACUAACUACUGCGAAAGCAUUUGCCAAGGAUGUUUUCAUUAAUCAAGAACGAAAGUUAGGGGAUCGAAGACGAUCAGAUACCGUCGUAGUCUUAACCAUAAACUAUGCCGACUAGGGAUCGGAUGAUGUUAAUUUUUUAUGACUCAUUCGGCGCCUUACG
Molecule: ribosomal RNA, 752 nt
Filed under: uncultured Glomeraceae
Lineage: Eukaryota; Fungi; Glomeromycota; Glomeromycetes; Glomerales; Glomeraceae
Description: SSU rRNA
Rfam family: Eukaryotic small subunit ribosomal RNA
Source: RNAcentral